CCCCCCCCCCCCCCCCCCCCCCCCCCCCCCCCCCCCCCCCCCCUUCUAUUUGGACUGAUGGAGGUGCAUUCCAAUGCCUGUGACCUGUGCAGCUAAAGGCGUGGUUGCCAAUGAAGGAACAACUGCAGUACUGAGACGGCUCCAACACAAAUGUGACAUUUGGGCAAAAUGAUUCUCCAUCAACGUGGAUCAAGAAGUUAGCAAUUCACAAACGUCUGUGAGGACAGGAAGAGGCGUAGAGGUAACAUUCUACAAAUGUGACUUAUUGGUGUUCCAGGGAUGAGUGUAGCAUCAGGGAGAUGGCAUCAGCCAUGGACCUGUUGCAGCAGUAGGCGAACUGCAGUGGGUCAAUGCUGAUUGGUAGACUGGAUGCAUUCCAGAGCCAGCCUCCAAAAGCAUGGAUGGAUGGAUGUCUGCUGUACGGUGGUCAUUAAGGCAUGAGAUCUUGCUUUUCUUUGUCAUUGGGAUGAUAGUGGUCUUCCUGAAGCAGGUGGGAACGCAGUAGGGAGAGAUGAAAGAAAUCCAAGAAUACUCCCAAAUAUGGUCCACGCAGUUUCUAAGGAUACAGCCAGUUGCUUUCACCCUCAGGAAGGCCAAUCUAACUUCAACAACAUUGACCAUGGGAAGAGGCAUAGUUGAGUCUGAUUGGAUAGAUGUCAUCACUCAUCACCCUGUUGACCUUCUGCUCAAAGGGAGCAUAGAAAACAUUAUAUUCAUCAGGUGGGGCCGCAGUAUCACCAGUGAUGUUGCCUGAUGUAACUCUGUAGCUAGUUUCGGUAUUCUGACCUUGCCACAUUCUGCAGGUAUCUGAAUUAUUAUAUUGGGACUCAAGUUUGUCCUGGUAUUGUCUCUUGACAUCCUUGAUGACUUAGUGAAAAUUAUAUCGAGCUUUCUUGUACUGCU
Leucoraja erinaceus (little skate) is the source of this 903-nucleotide long non-coding RNA. RefSeq lists it as uncharacterized. Lineage: Eukaryota; Metazoa; Chordata; Chondrichthyes; Rajiformes; Rajidae. The record is from RefSeq and is a predicted model, not a curated record. The transcript has 3 exons.